AUUAAGCCAUGCAUGUCUAAGUAUAAGCAACUUGUACUGUGAAACUGCGAAUGGCUCAUUAAAUCAGUUAUCGUUUAUUUGAUAGUACCUUACUACAUGGAUACCUGUGGUAAUUCUAGAGCUAAUACAUGCUAAAAACCCCGACUUCAGGAAGGGGUGUAUUUAUUAGAUAAAAAACCAACGCCCUUCGGGGCUCCUUGGUGAAUCAUAAUAACUUAACGAAUCGCAUGGCCUUGCGCCGGCGAUGGUUCAUUCAAAUUUCUGCCCUAUCAACUUUCGAUGGUAGGAUAGUGGCCUACCAUGGUGGCAACGGGUAACGGGGAAUUAGGGUUCGAUUCCGGAGAGGGAGCCUGAGAAACGGCUACCACAUCCAAGGAAGGCAGCAGGCGCGCAAAUUACCCAAUCCCGAUACGGGGAGGUAGUGACAAUAAAUACUGAUACGGGGCUCUUUUGGGUCUCGUAAUUGGAAUGAGAACAAUUUAAAUCCCUUAACGAGGAACAAUUGGAGGGCAAGUCUGGUGCCA
RNAcentral lists this ribosomal RNA (524 nucleotides) under cf. Penicillium sp. HC-B1/1. RNAcentral's name for it is "SSU rRNA". It matches the Rfam family "Eukaryotic small subunit ribosomal RNA", at positions 43 to 569 of the family's 1831-position model. Lineage: Eukaryota; Fungi; Ascomycota; Eurotiomycetes; Eurotiales; Aspergillaceae. The record is from RNAcentral.